Molecule: unclassified non-coding RNA, 484 nt
Filed under: Hevea brasiliensis (rubber tree)
Lineage: Eukaryota; Viridiplantae; Streptophyta; Magnoliopsida; Malpighiales; Euphorbiaceae
Source: RNAcentral
GGCUGUUGUAACCUUUAUAUAUAAACCAAUGAUUAUCAAUAAAUAAAGCAGGCAAGAUUUUUCUCAAAAAAAAUUAUGUUCUAUGAGAUUGGAAGGUUCUCUCUACAAUGAGCCUUCAAUGAGCCUUCACUUAAUUAUUCACAAUAGGUUCUUCAAGGAAGAGCAGGAACAUUAACAAAGGGAAGACGAUAGCUCUGUGCAAAGGUGAUUUCCCAGUAGCCUGACCUGUGACAAGAUCCUACUCAAGGGUCCUUAACACAAGGACCUUUAAGAAAUUCGAAGGCACCAAAAGUGAAAAAAAGAAAACGAAUAAGUGUCAUUUUUGUUCCAGUACCACAUCAUAUAUCAGUAUUACCAAGACAGUAAGGCAACAGAUAUGAGCUUUGCCUAAAUGCAAAUAUGUUUUCAAUAAUUACUAUUAUAUCUUCUUUUGGCCAGUUAUCAAUCAUUGCUAAAAUAUUUUUCAAAAAAUGGGACAUCUAAC